This 2001-nucleotide long non-coding RNA is filed under the name Oncorhynchus mykiss (rainbow trout). Its description in RNAcentral is "lncRNA (ENSOMYG00000057048.1)". The record is from RNAcentral. Lineage: Eukaryota; Metazoa; Chordata; Actinopteri; Salmoniformes; Salmonidae.
AAAUGUUCUGGCGUUUGGGGAAGGCAUUGUCAAAGCCACGGCUAUCUAUUGUGUCUGUGUGGCUGACUCUCCCUCUCUCCUCUCUCUCUCCCUCCGCUCUCCCAAUCCUGGGCCUCUCUCAGCUCUGGAGCGAGGGAUUGACAGAGAGAGAAAAGAAGAAGAGAAGCGUGGCGGCGAUUUGGCAGCUGCCCGGUGCCCAGCUGCAUUGGAAAACUCCUGCUGCCUUUUCCUUUGCGGUGGUUCCCUCCCGGAGUGGUUUGUUUGGGGGACUGGUGUCCUGGGUGGGUGUCUGGCUACGCUCCCCUGCGGCAGAUCUGGCUGCUGGGGCUGUGACUGUGGCUGUACCUCCUGGGGGAGCUGAGGAAUGGAGGUCUGGCCAUAGAACCAGAGACAGUAUCCAUAGAAGCCAAUGAGUGGAAGAGAGCAGCCUCACAUGAUCAUUAGCACCACUUCUGGACUAUGCUGUACUCUAGAGGCUGUGGACUGUGUAGAGACUGGGAGACGAGUGGAGGCAGGUCAGUGCAUGUUCUCUCUAUUCCCACUGUUUGAGUGCCCUUUUGUGAGGAUGCCAUCAUUUUGUUCCAGUAUAUGAUAAUAUGGCUAGGAUCAUGAUAUCCAGGCCUACUCUGAAACACUCUGUGACUUUGUUUUCCCUACUUUGAUUCAUACUCAGUAUUAUUCUGCCUUAUGCGCUUUCCGACUGUACAUACAAUGUAUUGUAAAGUUAUGUGAGGUUUUCUCAGAAAUACUAUAUGUCAGCAAUUGAAAUGACUAGGUAAAGGGAAUUACUGUAUUCCAAUCAGAUGUGGGUCACCUGUCUACCAUGACCAAACAUUACAGAAGAGCUGAAAGUCAUGCAUCCCUCUGUUCAGUUCCAUUGAAACACAAAACCUAAGUUUCCAGUCCAAAACCCUUCUCAAACCCUUCCAACGCCUUGUCCACAAGGAGGUCUCUAGUCCUGUUGUAUGUGGAUUGAGGACACAACCCUCUUUCUCUCUCUCUCUCUCUCUCUCUCUCUCUCUCUCUCUCUCUCUCUCUCUCUCUCUCUCUCUCAUCCUUUGAAAGCACUGGUACUGACCUUGGGAAAGAUUCCACCUCCAAAGAAGAGAAGAGCUGAGAGAGAGAGGGGGGGGGGGGGGGUAUGUGAAGCCCCCCUGCGAGAGAGGAAGUCACAACACAAAAACAUGGCUGGCUCAGCAUUCUGUUAGCAGUCUGUUUUGAUAGGCCUGGUCUGUCCUGGUUUAGCCUGAGAUAAUGCUUCUCCAACAUAGUACCUAUGCCAGUGAACACAAUGACCGCCUUGGAUGCCCUCUUAGGGGUACACACUGCCCCCUUCACCCCUCUCGGGAGCCAUUUUAAUAAGCUCACUCACUGUGUGGUCCGUGGCUGUUCAGAGCCCAUGAAGAGGUAUUGUGGGAUUGAGGACACCUCGAUACCAUGAGAGCUCUUAAAUAACACAGUAUGCGAAAGCCAAAAGGUUAUCAAAGUUUAAGCGCAAUGACGUCAAAUCUGAUAUAGUAUGAUGUCUUACAAAGUAUUACUGCUCUUACGGAAUCCUCCUUCCUUUUUUCCCCAUCAGCCUGGGAGGGAAUCCGACCUUCGAUAUCUUUAUUGAUUCGGACAAUGAGCACGUUGGGAUUUUUUUAAAUCAAUGCGCUUCCUAAGUUCUACCCCUGCUUUAACACUUUCUGCAGGACAUUCAGUACUGAUUGAAAGUGUGAGUGAGUUUACAAUAGUUCCUUCUGAGGGCCGUUGGCACCACGUGAACAGUGUGUGUGUGUGUGUUUGUGUGUGUGUGUGUUUGUGUGUGCAUGUGUGUGUGAGUGUGUGUGUUGCUCUGGUCUGGGAGGUACAAAGGCUCCUUACCUCAUGGCAUUGGCAUUCCCUGAGAGAAUGAGCAGGAACAGAGAGAGGGAGCAGGCACACACUGGGGGUAUUCAUAGGGCCCGUCCCCACGGAAGGAGCCAGGGUUGAGUAUUAGCCCCUAUUAAGAAACAAAGC